AGUGAACGCUGGCGGUAGGCCUAACACAUGCAAGUCGAACGGCAGCACAGUAAGAGCUUGCUCUUACGGGUGGCGAGUGGCGGACGGGUGAGGAAUACAUCGGAAUCUACUUUUUCGUGGGGGAUAACGUAGGGAAACUUACGCUAAUACCGCAUACGACCUACAGGUGAAAGCAGGGGAACUUCGGACCUUGCGCGAUUGAAUGAGCCGAUGUCGGAUUAGCUAGUUGGCGGGGUAAAGGCCCACCAAGGCGACGAUCCGUAGCUGGUCUGAGAGGAUGAUCAGCCACACUGGAACUGAGACACGGUCCAGACUCCUACGGGAGGCAGCAGUGGGGAAUAUUGGACAAUGGGCGCAAGCCUGAUCCAGCCAUACCGCGUGGGUGAAGAAGGCCUUCGGGUUGUAAAGCCCUUUUGUUGGGAAAGAAAAGCAGCAGGUUAAUACCCCGCUGUUCUGACGGUACCCAAAGAAUAAGCACCGGCUAACUUCGUG
Molecule: ribosomal RNA, 492 nt
Filed under: uncultured bacterium
Lineage: Bacteria
Description: partial 16S ribosomal RNA
Rfam family: Bacterial small subunit ribosomal RNA
Source: RNAcentral